UACGGAGGAUCCGAGCGUUAUCCGGAUUUAUUGGGUUUAAAGGGAGCGUAGGUGGAUUGUUAAGUCGGUUGUGAAAGUUUGCGGCUCAACCGUAAAAUUGCAGUUGAAACUGGCAGUCUUGAGUACAGUAGAGGUGGGCGGAAUUCGUGGUGUAGCGGUGAAAUGCUUAGAUAUCACGAAGAACUCCGAUUGCGAAGGCAGCUCACUGGACUGCAACUGACACUGAGGCUCGAAAGUGUGGGUAUCAAACAGG
This 253-nucleotide ribosomal RNA is filed under the name uncultured bacterium. RNAcentral's name for it is "partial 16S ribosomal RNA". It matches the Rfam family "Bacterial small subunit ribosomal RNA", at positions 524 to 776 of the family's 1533-position model. The record is from RNAcentral.